Molecule: ribosomal RNA, 253 nt
Filed under: uncultured bacterium
Lineage: Bacteria
Description: partial 16S ribosomal RNA
Rfam family: Bacterial small subunit ribosomal RNA
Source: RNAcentral
UACGUAGGGUGCGAGCGUUGUCCGGAAUUAUUGGGCGUAAAGGGCUCGUAGGCGGUCUGUUGCGUCGGGUGUGAAAACUCAGGGCUUAACCCUGAGCCUGCUUCCGAUACGGGCAGACUAGAGGUAUGCAGGGGAGAACGGAAUUCCUGGUGUAGCGGUGAAAUGCGCAGAUAUCAGGAGGAACACCGGUGGCGAAGGCGGCGUUCUGGACUGCAACUGACACUGAGGAACGAAAGCCAGGGGAGCAAACGGG